UUUUAGCAGCAAAGUCUUAGCAGUGGGAGCUGAGACAAAACAGGAUUAAGUGAACCUGCAGCAGCCACUGGGAUUUUAAGAGAUUUGUUUCUGCCUGGAAGAUUUGGCUUAUGGUCUGGAUGCCAAUAAUUUAAGAGAGUCAAUCAUGGUCACAAAUCAGGUAAAAAGGUGAGGACUUAGCUAAUGCAUUCCACCUGCCAGAGUCAGCAGGGGAACUCCAGAGACAAGCUUCAAGCUGCUCUCAAACGGCUUCUAGUAAGACAUCUAUUGAAUUGAUAAACA
This is a non-coding RNA of Cyanistes caeruleus (blue tit), 282 nucleotides long. NCBI's taxonomy places the organism in Eukaryota, Metazoa, Chordata, Aves, Passeriformes, Paridae. The record is from RefSeq and is a predicted model, not a curated record.